This 1030-nucleotide long non-coding RNA is filed under the name Phocoena sinus (vaquita). Its description in RNAcentral is "lncRNA (ENSPSNG00000005520.1)". Lineage: Eukaryota; Metazoa; Chordata; Mammalia; Artiodactyla; Phocoenidae. The record is from RNAcentral.
AGCCGCGCUCUGUGCCGACUGACGCCCGCCGCUCACCGCCCGGAGCUGACGGUCCCACCACGCUCGCCGCCGCCACUGCCGGCACGACAGAAAAGGAGUCCACUUGCAGACAAGCAAAAGCUAAGAGAAUUCAGCACCACCAAACCAGCUUUACAACAAAUGCUAAAGAAACUUCUCUAAGUGAGAAACACAAGAGAAGAAAAAGACCUACAAAAACAAACCCAAAACAAUUAAGAAAAUGAUAAGAGGAACAUACAUAUAGAUAAUGACCUUGAAUGUAAAUGGAUUAAACGCCCCAACCAAAAGACACAGACUGGCUGAAUGGAUACAAAAACAAGACCCAUAUAUUUGCUGUCUACAACAGACCCACUUCAGACCUAGGGACAUGUACAGACUGAAAGUGAACGGAUGAAAAAGAUAUUCCAUGCAAAUGGAAAUCAAAAGAAAGCUGGAAUAGCAAUACUCAAUCAGGUAAAAUAGACUUUAAAAUAAAGACUGUUACAAGCGAUAAGGAAGGACACUACAUAAUGAUCAAGGGAUCAAUCCAAGAAGAAGAUAUAACAAUUGUAAAUAUUUAUGCACCCAACAUAGGAGCACCUCAAUACAUAAGGUAAAUGCUAACAACCAUGAAAGGAGAAAUUGACAGUAACACAAUAAUAGUAGGGGACUUUAACACCCCACUUACACCAAUGGACACAUCGUCCAAAUAGAAAAUAAAUAAGGAAACACAAGCUUUAAAUGACACAAUAGACCAGAUCGAUUUAAUUGGUAUUUAUAGAACAUUCCACCUGAAAGUGGCAGAAUACACUUUCUUCUCAAGGGCACAGGGAACAUCUCCAGGAUAGGUCACAUUGUGGGUCACAAAUCAAGCCUCGGAAAAUUUAAGAAUAUUGAAAUCAUAUCAAACAUCUUUUCUGACCACAGCGCUAUGAGAUUGGAAAUCAAUUACAGGAAAAAAACUGUAAAAACCACAAAUACAUGGAGCCUAAACACUGCACUACUAAAUAACCAAGAGAUCACUGAAGAAAUC